GACGAACGCUGGCGGCGUGCUUAACACAUGCAAGUCGAACGGAAAGGCCCUGCUUUUGUGGGGUGCUCGAGUGGCGAACGGGUGAGUAACACGUGAGUAACCUGCCCUUGACUUUGGGAUAACUUCAGGAAACUGGGGCUAAUACCGGAUAGGAGCUCCUGCUGCAUGGUGGGGGUUGGAAAGUUUCGGCGGUUGGGGAUGGACUCGCGGCUUAUCAGCUUGUUGGUGGGGUAGUGGCUUACCAAGGCUUUGACGGGUAGCCGGCCUGAGAGGGUGACCGGCGACAUUGGGACUGAGAUACGGCCCAGACUCCUACGGGAGGCAGCAGUGGGGAAUAUUGCACAAUGGGCGGAAGCCUGAUGCAGCAACGCCGCGUGCGGGAUGACGGCCUUCGGGUUGUAAACUGCUUUCGCCUGUGACGAAGCGUGAGUGACGGUAAUGGGUAAAGAAGCACCGGCUAACUACGUG
RNAcentral lists this ribosomal RNA (468 nucleotides) under uncultured bacterium. RNAcentral describes it as "partial 16S ribosomal RNA". It matches the Rfam family "Bacterial small subunit ribosomal RNA", at positions 28 to 507 of the family's 1533-position model. The record is from RNAcentral.